GGCAGAUAUUGCAGCAAACAAAAUGUUAGCUUCUUUUCUUCUUCGAACCUUGUACAUUGCAUCAAUCAUGGUAUUGAAUAUUGUAAUAUCGAACUUCACAUCCGUUGCACCUAAUUUGUGGAACAGUACGAUUGCUUCCUCAGUGCAAUUAUUCCUACAAAGUUCUCCUAGAAUUUGUACCGUAUGUUGAAAUGCUCACUGUUGUUCCACUUUCAAUCAUCUGAUGGGCAAUCUCCGCAGCUUCCUUGCUUCUUCCAUGGUUGCAAAGGGAGGCCACGAAUGAGUUCCGACGUGUUGCAGUGCAACACCACUAGUGAUUUUCGAGCAGCUCCCAUGGAAGCCCGACAUAGCAGCUCCACGCUCCAUUGUAGCGCCAGCAAAGCUUCAAUGGCCCCCACGACGCUUCAUUGAAACUCCGGCGGCGCUUCAUUGCCACCACGCGCGCUUCACUGCAACCCCGACGGCUCCGCCGAUGCUUCAUGGCAACUCCGGUGAGCCCUUUCUGCUUCACCAGCUGAUGCGGCCCGUCACCACACUGUUGGUGCCGCCAUGCUGCACUGCAGCUCCACGGACACCGAGCUGCUUUUUCAUCGCAACACCCCUCGCCUGAGUUGUGUUGCAGCAGGCGUCGCCGCCGAGGUUGCUUUCAAGCAUCUGUUGCCGACGACGGCGAGGACGAUGGAUGCAGCAGCGUGCGGUCCCUCCAGUGUUGCAGCAAUGGUGUUGCUGCCGAAGUGGGUUGUGCAACAACGGGAGUAGCGGCAGGAGAUCCUUGCAGUGGGUGGUCGGAGACAGGUUGAACGGCGGUGGUGGUGAGGUGCGGCGAGUGGAGAUGGAGAAAACGAACAGAGCAAAGGGAGGAAGAAGAAACU
This 872-nucleotide ribosomal RNA is filed under the name Triticum aestivum (bread wheat). RNAcentral describes it as "partial small subunit ribosomal RNA". The record is from RNAcentral. Lineage: Eukaryota; Viridiplantae; Streptophyta; Magnoliopsida; Poales; Poaceae.